RNAcentral lists this unclassified non-coding RNA (253 nucleotides) under uncultured Planctomycetales bacterium. RNAcentral's name for it is "contains 16S-23S intergenic spacer region". It matches the Rfam family "Bacterial small subunit ribosomal RNA", at positions 524 to 776 of the family's 1533-position model. Lineage: Bacteria; Pseudomonadati; Planctomycetota; Planctomycetia; Planctomycetales. The record is from RNAcentral.
CACGUACUGUGCGAACGUUAUUCGGAAUCACUGGGCUUAAAGGGUGCGUAGGCGGUUUAUCAAGUCAGAUGUGAAAUGCCUGAGCUCAACUGAGGCACUGCGUUUGAAACUGAUAGACUGGAGUGUUCCAGGGGUAUGCGGAACUGCCAGUGGAGCGGUGAAAUGCGUUGAUAUUGGCAGGAACACCAGUGGCGAAGGCGGCAUACUGGGGGACGACUGACGCUGAGGCACGAAAGCCAGGGUAGCGAACGGG